UACGUAGGUGGCAAGCGUUGUCCGGAUUUACUGGGCGUAAAGAGCGCGCAGGCGGUCGUUCAAGUCGCGUGUGAAAGCCCCCGGCUCAACUGGGGAGGGUCACGCGAUACUGAUCGACUCGAAGGCAGGAGAGGGUAGUGGAAUUCCCGGUGUAGUGGUGAAAUGCGUAGAUAUCGGGAAGGAACACCAGUGGCGAAAGGCGA
Molecule: ribosomal RNA, 203 nt
Filed under: uncultured bacterium
Lineage: Bacteria
Description: partial 16S ribosomal RNA
Rfam family: Bacterial small subunit ribosomal RNA
Source: RNAcentral